GCCCAGCCGUAAACAAUUAACUCACACCAACUAACGCCAGGGAACUACGAGCCAUGCUUAAAACCCAAAGGACUUGACGGUGUCCCAUCCACCUAGAGGAGCCUGUUCUAUAAUCGAUGAUCCCCGCUAUACCUUACCCCUUUUUGCUUUCUCAGCCUGUAUACCUCCGUCGAAAGCCUACCAUAUGAACGUGUAUAGUAGGCUCAAUGAUUAUAUUUACAUCAAAACGUCAGGUCAAGGUGCAGCUCACGAAGUGGUGAGAAAUGGGCUACAGUUUCUAAUAUAGAACAAACGGAAGGUUAUGUGUAACCAUAAUCAUGAAGGCGGAUUUAGUAGUAAGAAGAAAAUAGAGUGUUCUUCUUAACCCGGCUCUGGGACGCGUACACACCGCCCGUCACCCUCUUCAAUGAUUUAAACUUAGAUUUAUAACCUCAUAUCUGCAUUUUUAGAAGAGGCAAGUCGUAACAUGGUAAGUGUACUGGAAAGUGCACUUGGCUAACAAAAUGUAGCUUAACUAAAGCCUCCCGCUUACACCGGAAAAACAUCUGUUAAAAUCAGAUCAUUUUGAGCCUAAAAUCUAGCCCAUCUCCUCCCUAUGUUAACUCCAAUUAACUUUCAACAAACAAAACAUUUUAAUAUAUUAGUAUAGGCGAUUAAAAAUUUUCUUGGCGCUUUAGAAAUAGUACCGCAAGGGAAUGAUGAAAUAGCAAUGAAAUAACCUUUAAGCCCUAAAUAGCAGAGCUUCCCCCUCG
RNAcentral lists this ribosomal RNA (752 nucleotides) under Amolops hainanensis (Hainan sucker frog). RNAcentral describes it as "partial 12S ribosomal RNA". The stretch from base 1 to 507 matches the Rfam family "Bacterial small subunit ribosomal RNA", at positions 794 to 1533 of the family's 1533-position model. Lineage: Eukaryota; Metazoa; Chordata; Amphibia; Anura; Ranidae. The record is from RNAcentral.